CCUGAUCCAGCCAUGCCGCGUGAGUGAAGAAGGCCUUCGGGUUGUAAAGCUCUUUCAGAUGCGAAGAUGAUGACGGUAACAUCAGAAGAAGCCCCGGCUAAUUUCGUGCCAGCAGCCGCGGUAAUACGAAAGGGGCUAGCGUUGUUCGGAUUUACUGGGCGUAAAGGGCACGCAGGCGGUCUUGCCAGUCAGGGGUGAAAGCCCGGGGCUCAACCCCGGAACUGCCUCUGAUACUGCAAGACUAGAGACUAGGAGAGGGUGGUGGAAUUCCCAGUGUAGAGGUGAAAUUCGUAGAUAUUGGGAGGAACACCAGAGGCGAAGGCGGCCACCUGGACUAGAUCUGACGCUCAGGUGCGAAAGCGUGGGGAGCAAACAGGAUUAGAUACCCUGGUAGUCCACGCCGUAAACGAUGAGUGCUAGUUGUCGGGACUUCGGUUUCGGUGACGCAGCUAACGCAUUAAGCACUCCGCCUGG
Molecule: ribosomal RNA, 474 nt
Filed under: uncultured Thalassospira sp.
Lineage: Bacteria; Pseudomonadati; Pseudomonadota; Alphaproteobacteria; Rhodospirillales; Thalassospiraceae
Description: bacterial SSU rRNA
Rfam family: Bacterial small subunit ribosomal RNA
Source: RNAcentral